This 485-nucleotide ribosomal RNA is filed under the name Xylotrupes damarensis. RNAcentral's name for it is "partial large subunit ribosomal RNA". It matches the Rfam family "Bacterial large subunit ribosomal RNA", at positions 1808 to 2563 of the family's 2925-position model. The record is from RNAcentral. Lineage: Eukaryota; Metazoa; Arthropoda; Insecta; Coleoptera; Scarabaeidae.
CAAAAACAUGUCUUUUUGAUUAUAAUUUAAAGUCUAACCUGCCCAAUGAGGAGUUAAAUGGCCGCGGUAUUUUGACCGUGCAAAGGUAGCAUAAUCAUUAGUUUUUUAAUUGAAAGCUGGUAUGAAUGGUUGGACGAGAAAAUAACUGUCUCGGUUUAAAUUAAAUUAGAAUUUUAUUUAUGAGUAAAAAAGCUCAUAUGAGUUUAAAAGACGAGAAGACCCUAUAGAAUUUAAUAUAUGUAUAUAUAUAUUAUUUUUAGUAUUAAUAAUAAGUUAUAUAUAAUUAUAUUUUGUUGGGGUGAUAGAAAAAUUAAAUUAACUUUUUUUAUAUAAAAACAUUAAUGUAUGAAAAAAUGAUCCGUUAAUUACGAUUAUAAGAUUAAAUUACCUUAGGGAUAACAGCGUAAUUUUUUUUUAGAGUUCUUAUCGAAAAAAGAGUUUGCGACCUCGAUGUUGGAUUAAAAUUAACUUUUGGUGUAGGGGCU